Molecule: ribosomal RNA, 1355 nt
Filed under: uncultured bacterium
Lineage: Bacteria
Description: bacterial SSU rRNA
Rfam family: Bacterial small subunit ribosomal RNA
Source: RNAcentral
AGAGUUUGAUCCUGAGCUCAGGAUAAACGCUGGCGGCGCACAUAAGACAUGCAAGUCGAACGGACUUAACCAUUAGUUUACUAUUGGAGCGGUUAGUGGCGGACUGGUGAGUAACACGUAAGCAACCUGCCUAUCAGAGGGGAACAACAGUUACAAAUGACUGCUAAUACCGCAUAUGCCAUAAUCACCACAUGGUGAUAGUGGGAAAGGAGCAAUCCGCUGAUAGAUGGGCUUGCGUCUGAUUAGAUAGUUGGUGGGGUAACGGCCUACCAAGUCGACGAUCAGUAGCCGGACUGGGAGGUUGAACGGCCACAUUGGGACUGAGAUACGGACCAGACUCCUACGGGAGGCAGCAGUCGGGAAUAUUGCGCAAUGGAGGAAACUCUGACGCAGUGACGCCGCGUGCAGGAAGAAGGUUUUCGGAUUGUAUACUGCUUUACACAGGGAAGAUAGAAGACAGUACCUGUACAAUAAGCUCCGGCUAACUACGUGCCAGCAGCCGCGGUAAUACGUAGGGAGCGAGCGUCAUCCGGAUUUAUUGGGUGUAAAGGGUGCGUACACGGGAUAAUAACUUACUUGUGAAAUCCCUCGGAUUAACUGAUGAACUGCAAGUAAGCCUGCUCUUCUUGAGUACUGGACAGGAAAGUGGAAUCCCUAUUGUACCGGUGAAAUGCGUAGAUAUUAGGAGGAACACCAGUGGCGAAGGCGACUUUCUGGACAGAAACUGACGUUGAGGCACGAAAGUGUGGGGAGCAAACAGGAUUAGAUACCCUGGUAGUCCACACCGUAAACGAUGGAUACUAGGUGUAGGAUGUGAUAAACAUUCUGUGCCGUCGCAAACGCAAUAAGUAUCCCACCUGGGGAGUACGGCCGCAAGGUUGAAACUCAAAGGAAUUGACGGGGGCCCGCACAAGCAGUGGAGUAUGUGGUUUAAUUCGACGCAACGCGAAGAACCUUACCAGGGCUUGACAUAUACAGGAAUAAUUAAGAGACUAAUUAGCUCUUCGGAGUCUGUAUACAGGUGGUGCAUGGUUGUCGUCAGCUCGUGUCGUGAGAUGUUGGGUUAAGUCCCGCAACGAGCGCAACCCCUGUCCUUAGUUGCUAACAGUAAGAUGAGAACUCUAAGGAGACUGCCGGUGAUAAAUCGGAGGAAGGUGGGGACGACGUCAAAUCAUCAUGCCCUUUAUGUCCUGGGCUACACACGUACUACAAUGGCUAUAACAAAGAGAGGCGAUAUAGCGAUAUGGAGCAAAACUCCAAAAGUAGUCUCAGUUCGGAUUGUAGGCUGAGAUUCGCCUACAUGAAGCCGGAAUUGCUAGUAAUGGCAGGUCAGCAUACUGCCGUGAAUACGUUCC